Molecule: long non-coding RNA, 500 nt
Organism: Nannospalax galili (Upper Galilee mountains blind mole rat)
Lineage: Eukaryota; Metazoa; Chordata; Mammalia; Rodentia; Spalacidae
Exons: 3
Source: RefSeq, a predicted model, not a curated record
AAGUGCGGCCCUGGCGCUGGAACUUGCCGGCUCUUGUUUCUGGGGUUUGCUGGCCCCGGUGUCACCAAGCAAGAUCAAGGGUGGUGUAGGACCCUGGGGAGUUUUGUCCUGUUUCCCAGCGUCCUAACCCUCUGAAAGCCAUAGGGAGAAGGACCUGCGGCCUGGCUUUUCCCAUUGGGGAAAUUCAUUUCCCUAACGUGUUCGGUUUUGAAACGGCCCCUUUAUUGGGCGCAACUGAGUAAUCUGUCUACUGCCCUGUCCGGGCCAUCCAGUCCACCACAGCAAUUAGUUUUCAGGCAGCAAGAUGAUUUCUGGUGCCCAGUGCUUGAAAGCCCAAGAACGAAGGAGAAAAACCGCAGCUCUUACACCAAGAACCUUUGUCUCUGGUUUUAAGGCUCUGCACUCCUGGGAAUGGUGACCCUGGAUGAUUGGUGGAGCAACUCACUUCAAAGAGGAGCAAUUUUUAACAGCUGGAAACAAUAAACAGAGUGGGUGGUGAA